CCGAGUUUUGUUUGUUCUGCAAACAACUCCCACCCUUUGUUAACAAUAACUGUUGCUUCGGCGAGCCGAUUUUUGAGCAGUCAAAAACUGUCGGUUCACAACGGGCAAGAGCUCGCCGGAGUUUUUUCUACUCUUGUUAUUAUGAAGUCUGAAUUUCAAAAAGAAAAAUUAAAUUA
RNAcentral lists this unclassified non-coding RNA (176 nucleotides) under uncultured fungus. Its description in RNAcentral is "sequence contains ITS1, 5.8S rRNA gene". Lineage: Eukaryota; Fungi. The record is from RNAcentral.